AUCCCCCUCCCCAAAGCUCCAUCCAGGGUCCCUCCCCGGGGCCAUCCCGGCCAGGCCCCUCCUCACGCCGCACAUUGCCAAAAAAUGAUCAGAUUUGUUGAAACUUGUCGCUCUCACCGCUUUUCUAUUUUGAGGCUCCAGUGCAAUUAAACCCCAAACCAGUGCCUGAUUAAAUGGGGGUGCAGCGACGGGAGGGCAGAGCCAGGAUCUCAACUCCAGCUCUCCAGGCCCCGCUCUGCAACCUGAAGACAUCUGCCACUUUCUCCUCCUUUUUGGCUCGUUAUCGGAAUUAACGUCCUUCCCGGAAAGAGCCACAGCGUGUCUGGUGUCCGACGGCAGAGGAGGGUAAGAGAUCCCCAGAGCUGGAUUUGUGUGUGUUUAUGGUCAGGCGUGGUUCAACUUUCUCCUCAAUAUCUGGCAUUCGUGCUGCUAAAGUAACAUGCGACAGAAAGAGGAUUUUUAAAUACGUGUGCACAGGGGCAACAGCCAGCGGAUCAACUCGGGGUGUGUUUGCUUUUGUAUUGGCCUAAUAAUGAAGCUAAAAAUAACAGAAAAAAAAAAAAAAAAAUCCCCUUUUUCUGCAGCUCUCGUGAGCCCAACCUCCUUGCUGGAAGCCCCACGGUUUUCCCCCGGGUGCAUGCCAUCCGUGGGCUCCCGCCGCAUGGCCCCGGGGAGGGUGCUGUGGGGUGGGUGACGUGUCCCUGCACCCCCCCCAACACGGGAUGGGGACGGGUGGCCUCGUCCCGCAUCCUUGGGUGGGUGGGAGGCUGUUUUCCUGCUCUCUCAGGGCCUGGGUGAGGUUUCUGCCUCGGGGAGUCUGGCUUUCCUAGCUACGGAAUUAAAAGAGGAGCCCCCCAGGAUAGAAGCCCCCUAAGCCCAGGGGGGCACAAGGAACAAACCCAGGAGGUUUUGCACCGGUGCAGCACUCGGGCAGACGCUGUCCUGGGAAAGGAAACAGCAGGUCAAGUUUUCCUCCUACGAGGAAUCAGGUUUCCCCACCUUCCACGCCAACUCAGGCUCUACAGGAAUGUUGGAGCCUCUAAAAUAAUACUUCCUCUUCUUUUUUUUUUUUUUUUAAACUCUAUUAAGUGGUAGCGUUCAAAAAAAUAAAAAUAUUUCCAACAUUUCCUGCAGCACAUCAGCUGCUCUUUCAUUUAAUGGCUUGGGAGGGGCUAGGAAUAAACCCACACCAGACCAGCGCAACAGGACCUUGCCCGUGGCCAGGACAAGGAAGCAGCUGCCAAAUGAGCCCUUUUGACUGUACACUAAUGAACGGGUUAAGAAAAUAAAAGCCAGGACCAAGGGUUUGACUUUAAACCUUUAUUUCAAAAAAAAGAAAAAAAAAAAAGACACAAACCCAAAAACCCAAAAAACAAAACACUAUCCAAUUUCAAACAAUUAUAUUAAUGCAGCUGCUUUUAACAGCCAACUGUUACAAGAUGUGUGGUUGCAGACCAACUGCUUAAGGGCGUCCUGGUUCUCAAACCUCCGCCUAUAAAUAAUUUUUUCAUCAAUAUCAUAUCAUAAAAUAACUUAUUAUAUAUCUUAGCAUAAAAACUUGAGAAUUAACAUCCCAAAAAUACAAUAAAACGGUUUGUAAAAUGCUUCGAUUAACCUUUUUUUUUUUUUUUUUUUUUUCCUGCUCUUUAAAAGGUAUUUAAACCAGAAACUGUUAAGUGGCACUUUGACAA
Molecule: long non-coding RNA, 1691 nt
Organism: Tyto alba (common barn owl)
Lineage: Eukaryota; Metazoa; Chordata; Aves; Strigiformes; Tytonidae
Exons: 2
Source: RefSeq, a predicted model, not a curated record